RNAcentral lists this long non-coding RNA (565 nucleotides) under Helianthus annuus (common sunflower). Its description in RNAcentral is "sRNA HanXRQr2_Chr13g0585921". Lineage: Eukaryota; Viridiplantae; Streptophyta; Magnoliopsida; Asterales; Asteraceae. The record is from RNAcentral.
ACCAUUCACGCGGGCCGUAUGAAGGUGUAACCGGAUUCCUUUGAUUUCUUAAGUCCAGGCGGGCCGCGUAAGGCCACACCGUUAGUUUACGCGGGCCGCGAGUGUCCCUAUUAGUGGCGCAGCCCGGUGAUGACACGUGUCAUCAUCGUGGCGGGUCUAGAGGGUGAGCCGGACAAGCUAGUCCGUUGACCAGGGUUGACGCGGGCCGCGUAACCCCUGUCCUUUCUUUACGCGGGCCGCGUGGGAACCAGAAUCAGCACCUAUAUAAGCAGGCAUCGGGUUUCAGUAUUCCUCGUUCAUUUCUUUUUCUUUCUAAACGAAUUCUGAAGUAGUAGAAGUGAUACGCGGGUAUUAUACCCCCUAAUUAGCAAAGCUCUGCCUCGUUAUUAUAACCAGGAAGUCACAGAGGAUAGCCCUAUAAUAGCAAUGUGAGUUGAUCCUUCUUUUUAUGAACUCAUUUUUGUAACUUAGUGUAAAGCCAAUAGAAGCCAGCUGGAGAGCACUGAAGGCUUGGAAAAGUGGCAAUAAAGUUACCUAAAAUAAAAUAGAUGUUUUUAUUAAAUAA